GCAGUCGUGGCCACAUGGUUAAGGCGAUGGACCAGAAAUCCAUUGGGGUCUCACCGCACAGGUUCGAAUCCUGUCGACUGCG
Molecule: non-coding RNA, 82 nt
Organism: Ixodes scapularis (black-legged tick)
Lineage: Eukaryota; Metazoa; Arthropoda; Arachnida; Ixodida; Ixodidae
Source: Rfam